This 1466-nucleotide ribosomal RNA is filed under the name metagenome. Its description in RNAcentral is "bacterial SSU rRNA". It matches the Rfam family "Bacterial small subunit ribosomal RNA". The record is from RNAcentral.
AGAGUUUGAUCCUGGCUCAGAACGAACGCUGGCGGCGCGUCUAAGGCAUGCAAGUCGAACGGAAAGGUCCCUUCGGGGAUACUCGAGUGGCAAAUGGGUGAGUAACACGUGGAUAACCUACCCUAAAGUGGGGAAUAACUCUAAGAAAUUAGAGCUAAUACCGCAUAUUAUUAUCAUUACAUAAGUAGAGAUAAUGAAAGACUUCGGUCGCUAUAGGAUGGGUCCGCGGUCCAUUAGCUUGUUGGUAAGGUAACGGCUUACCAAGGCUACGAUGGAUAGCCGGCUUGAGAGAGUGAUCGGCCACAUUGGAACUGCGACACGGUCCAGACUCCUACGGGAGGCAGCAGCUAAGAAUCUUAGGCAAUGGGCGAAAGCCUGACCUAGCGACGCCGCGUGGAUGAUGAAGGCCUUCAAGGUUGUAAAAUCCUUUUCUAUGGGAAGAAGUCCUGACGGUACCAUAGGAAUAAGCCCCGGCUAAUUACGUGCCAGCAGCCGCGGCAAUACGUGAGGGGCAAGCGUUGUUCGGAAUUAUUGGGCGUAAAGGGUGCGUAGGCGGAUUGGUAAGUUGGAUGUGCAAUCUCUGGGCUCAACUCGGAAACUGCGUCCAAAACUACCAGUCUAGAGUUUGGAAGAGGAAAGCGGAAUUACUGGUGUAGGAGUGAAAUCUUUAGAUAUCAGUAAGAACACCUGCAGCGAAGGCGGCUUUCUGGUCUAAAACUGACGCUGAAGCACGAAAGCCAGGGGAGCAAACGGGAUUAGAUACCCCGGUAGUCCUGGCCGUAAACGUUGUAUACUAGGUGUAUGAGGCAUCGAUCCCUCAUGUGCCAAAGCUAACGCAUUAAGUAUACCGCCUGGAGAGUAUGCCCGCAAGGGUGAAAUUCAAAGGAAUUGACGGGGGCCCGCACAAGCGGUGGAGCAUGUGGUUCAAUUCGAUGAUACGCGAGUAACCUUACCAGGGUUCGACUACCACUAGACACCCUCGAGAAAUCAGGGUUCCCUUCGGGGCUGGUGGUCAGGUGCUGCAUGGUUGUCGUCAGCUCGUGUCGUGAGAUGUUGGGUUAAGUCCCGCAACGAGCGCAACCCCUAUCUUCUGUUGCCACCAGGUUAAGCUGAGCACUCAGAAGAAACAGCCGUCGAAAGACGGAGGAAGGUGGGGAUGACGUCAAAUCAUCAUGGCCCUUAUGUCCUGGGCUACACACGUGCUACAAUGGACGGUACAAAGGGUCGCGAGAUCGCAAGAUGAAGCUAAUCCCAAAAAACCGUUCUCAGUUCGGAUUGAAGUCUGAAACCCGACUUCAUGAAGCCGGAAUCGCUAGUAAUCGCGCAUCAGCACGGCGCGGUGAAUACGUUCCCGGGCCUUGUACACACCGCCCGUCACAUCAUCCGAGUUGGAUCAACCCGAAGUCACUGAGCUAACCCGCAAGGGAGGCAGGUGCCGAAGGUAAAUCUAAUGAGGAGGAUGAAGU